AACGGCCAUACCAUGCUGAAUAUACCGGUUCUCGUUAGAUCACCAAAGUCAAGUCAUUGGGCUCGGUCAGUACUUGGGUGGGUGAUCACCUGGGAACACCGCGUGCUGU
This 109-nucleotide ribosomal RNA is filed under the name Caerostris darwini. Lineage: Eukaryota; Metazoa; Arthropoda; Arachnida; Araneae; Araneidae. The record is from RNAcentral.